UGAAUUGUACUUUUAAAAGCUGUCUUACUUACUUUCUACUUUAUUGUGCAUUUGGUGUUUUACCUGCACAUAUGUCUCUUGUGAGGGCGUCAGGUCCCCUGGAACUGGAGUUACAGACACUUGGGAGCUACUAGUUUUUCCGUGAAAACACCUCACACUAAAACAUGGCGAUAGCACUGAUCCUGAGAUACUGCUAAGGUAAAUGAGCCUCACUGGGCUGUUUGGAUUUUUCUGAACAUAAAAGAAGGAGAUGGGAGGUUACCUGGCACCCUAAAAAGAAGCCUGCCACUGGGAGAGAAAUGUCACCUUCAAUCUGCGGACUACUCCAGCCCACACUGAUACUUGAAGAGGAAUGACCCAAGUUGGCAAAGAACAGGAGUGUGGAACACAGAGGGAUGGUCCAGACUGAGCCCACGUGCAGCUUCAGAUGCCUGGGUGGUCCUGGACCGGCUGCGCAUGCUCAUUAGAAGUCUGUGUAAGGAGGGCUGGAGCCGACUGCGAGGGGCAAAUGUGAACACCUCCCGUCAUUGUGUGUCACCCGAACCAGACCCUUGAGGAAACACCGUGAAGGAGGAAGGAUUACUCUUUGCCUCACGGCUUCUGAGAGCUUGUUUUUUGCUUGCUUGGCCCCGUCUGCCUGGACAAAAAGCCACACACUUGUGUGUGAUGGAGGAGAGGCCGAUUCAAUUCGUGUUGCACAAGAAGCCGAGAGAACUAGAAGCAGGGACCCAAUAACCUGCUUCCCCCAGCGAGGCUCCACCUCCUAAAGUGUCCCGGACGUCUCCAAAUGGUGCCACUUUUAUCAAACUUGAGGUCACAGUCUGUACACUUAGAAGUCAAAUUUGGCCACUUGUCCUGGAGAAGUCAAUUGAAAUAAAUCAGUAGUAAAAAGACCAAAAAAGGAGAUUCAUUCAAUAUGGCUGCAUUUGGAAGAAGGAAGAAGGACAAGAAAUCCAGUGACCUCCCUCCAGUCCAUCUUCAGCUUCCCAAAGUGGCAUUAAAGUUUAAACAGAAAUAAGCAUAAUUAAGAAUUCCUGGUCAAAGAGUGGUCCUGCCCACCACUGACCCAUCCGCCAUUGUCUGGACUUCCGGCUCACCUUACAAGGUGACGUGACAAGUUUUUGGAACUGUGUGCAGUCUCUUUCCUGGGAAGUUUUCCCUCUGGCUGGCACCAGGCUUCAGCCUUUUCCUUCCCAACACUGGCUUCCUAGGGGGAAUUCCAGCUCAUUCCAGCUCCGCAGAGCCCAUUGUUUCCAAGUCUGAAAGUCAGAUUAAGGGGCAUAGGUGUCGCCUUAGAACGUGCUGGUUUCUGCCGGGCCAGUUACAACACAUCAGUCACAUGAGCCCACGAGGGACGUUUCAGCUGGGGAGUAGAGCCAGACCUUCGUGCAUGCUGGACCAGUGAUCUACCCAUGAGCGACUUCCGAAGUCCUGAUGCUUCACAUGGGGGUAAAGCAGAAAAUUCUUCGGUUUUUUUCCAAAUCAAUAAAGGAAUGAAUCUAGGAAUGACCUGAUGCAGCUCUUUAGAGGCCUGGAAGGUCGCCUGCACAAAUCACUCCAGCUAGCCGCUGAGUCCUAAUGACAGCCCCAUUAAUGUGGCCCCCCUCUGUGGGAGUUUACUUUCUGGGCUCAGUGUGUUUUACUGCAGGUUGUUAAGAGCCCUUGUGUGCAGAGGUGCCUCAGAGCCCUAAGGCUUCCUGUGUACCCUGAGAGCAGCACCAGCCCAGUGCUCCUGGAGAGCGCUCCAGCUUUAUAGGAGGCUGAAGGAGGGAUGGAAAGAAACCCUCAUGGGGGGGGGGGGAUUUAAGAUCAGGCAUCUGCUCGCCUGCCUUGACUCUGUGAGAAGGCACCCAGGCAUGGAGACAGAUGUGGUCUUCCCAACCGCCUGCUCCAAACUACAGCCCCAGCAGAGCCACUGUGAUUCUGGAAGGAUCCCCGUUCUAGAAAGAGAAAAGAGAACCCACCCCACCCCCUGCUGUCUGAACAAAAAAAAAAAAAUCUAGGGUUAGGUCCCUGUUUGUGGUGACAAUCAGACAGAUUGUCCUAUCUGUACAAACAUGUUGUGUUUACAGGAAGCUUGUUUGAAAUCUCGUCCAAGUCAAGCAUCUAAGGAGAGGUCAUGAUCUCACUGUGCCAGACAGGCAGCAAUCACAGGUCUACAAAAGCUGAGAAAGUUCUAGCACUGGGCAGCUUUCCAGCUCCGGCCCUUGUCACAUCAUCCACCUGUAAAGCCAGCCCUGAAACCUGUGCUGCCCAGAAGCGGGAACUGUCUCCCAACCAGAGGAUAACCCCAGAUGGAAGUGCGGUGGGGUACCGAGACUAAACUCCUCAUUGCAUGGGUGUGCGGUCCAGCAGAGAGCCCUGGAGGGGCCAAAACCGAUGUCACAGGGGGUCUGCCACAAGAGCUGGCCCGGCCGGGGCUAGGGAAUUUCUAGUCCUAAAAUAAUCAGAUGGGGCCUGCUCUCCUGGCCAGAAGGAGUAGGCCUAAGGAAAGAGUGAAUUUUUCAUCACAAGGAAAGAAGGAUGCCCCAGAGUUUCACCAGCUCAGAACCAGCCCCCUGAGGAGGCUCACCCACGGUUGGAGAAGCCAAUUCCUCCCACCCUGACUAUACACCCUCAGACAAGGUUCUCCCUCCCCACCGGAGAGCUCUUGUUACUAUGGGACUCCACAAUAGCCACGCACUAUCCACACAGCCAUUCCUCUGGUGAGUGGCAAGACUUCAGCGUCUGCCGAAUGGUAGUGGCUCUUCAAUAAA
Long non-coding RNA from Alexandromys fortis (reed vole), 2756 nucleotides. RefSeq lists it as uncharacterized. The record is from RefSeq and is a predicted model, not a curated record. NCBI's taxonomy places the organism in Eukaryota, Metazoa, Chordata, Mammalia, Rodentia, Cricetidae. The transcript has 5 exons.